Molecule: non-coding RNA, 69 nt
Organism: Rattus norvegicus (Norway rat)
Lineage: Eukaryota; Metazoa; Chordata; Mammalia; Rodentia; Muridae
Source: Rfam
GGGGACUUAGCUCAGUGGUAGAGCGCUUGCCUAGCAAACGCAAGGCCCUGGGUUCGGUCCCCAGCUCCG